GCCAUGAGGGCGGGAACCCUCGUACGCGGAAGUUCAUGAGGGCGGGACCCUCGUACGCGGAAGGUCAUGAGGGCGGGACCCUCGUACGCGGAAGUUCAUGCGGGCGGGACCCUCGUACGUGGAAGGUCAUGAGGGCGGGACCCUCGUACGUGGAAGGUCAUGAGGGCGGAACCCUGGUACAUGAAAUUCGUUCUCUUAUUUAAGAGACAAAGAACGCCCUUGUUUUUUCCACCACGUGAUGGCGCAGACAGAAGACAACCAGCAUCUAUGAACCAGGAAGCCCCCACCAGGCACUGAAUCUGCCCCUGCGUGGAUCUUAGACUUGCAGACUCCAGAACUAACCUUACAAUGUCUCUUCUCCAUUAAGAAAACCUACUUCAACAUCUCCAUUGGUUCUCAACAUAGAGGUCCAAAUUUUGGUCUGGAGCCAGAGACAAUAUAGGAUGAAGUUUGAUUUGUUCCAAAACCCACAGAAAUCUCUAAAAUGGAAGAAUUUUCUUAGAACCAAAAGGCAUGGAAUUGAUGACAUGAAACUGUUCUCUCUCCUGCCACCAUUUGAAGAAGGGUGUGUUUGCU
RNAcentral lists this long non-coding RNA (576 nucleotides) under Homo sapiens (human). Its description in RNAcentral is "HSALNT0324834". The record is from RNAcentral. Lineage: Eukaryota; Metazoa; Chordata; Mammalia; Primates; Hominidae.